This 483-nucleotide ribosomal RNA is filed under the name uncultured bacterium. Its description in RNAcentral is "partial 16S ribosomal RNA". It matches the Rfam family "Bacterial small subunit ribosomal RNA", at positions 30 to 506 of the family's 1533-position model. The record is from RNAcentral.
AUUGAACGCUGGCGGCAGGCCUGAUACAUGCAAGUCGAGCGGAUGAAGGAAACUUGCGCCUGGGUUCAGCUGCCGACGGGUGAGUAAUUACUAGGAAUCUGCCUGGCAGUGGGGGAUAACGUAAGGAAACGGGCGCUAAUAUCGCACACGUCCUGAGGGUGAACGUCGGGGAUCUACAGACCACACGCUUCCUGCUGGGCCUAGGUCGGAUUAGCUAGUUGGUGGGGCAAGGGCCUACCAAGACGACGAUCCGAGACUGCUCUGAGAGGAUGAUCAGUAACACGGAAACUGGGAACGGGCCCAGACUCCUAGGGGGGGCGGCAGUGGGAAAUAUUGGACAAUGGGCGAAGGCCUGCGCCAGCCAUGCCGCUGGUGUGAGGAAGGUCUUCGGUUUGUAAAGCAUUUUAAGUUGGAAGAAAGGGCAGUAAGGUAAUACCGUGCUGUUUGGACGUUACCAAUAAGAUAAGCACCGGCUAACUUCGU